UAAAAAAUGGAAAUCAGCAUAUUAAAAACAUAAAGACUUUACUCAGCUGUAUAGUACACUGUAUAGUACACGCACAGUUUCACAUGCACUGCCAAACUUAUCAACAGGGGCGGCCCUGCCUUUAGGCAAUUGAGGCAAGCGCCUAGGGCCCCCAAAUUUUUGGGGCCCCCCAAUUUUUUUAAAAAAGUUUUUGAGUUCCAAAAUUUUUUUAAUCAAAUAAUAUUAAUAUUAUUUAUUAUGCUCUAUUCCCAUAAUUGACUUCCCAAUUAAUUAAUAAAUUAUAAAAUUAUAUUUUAAAAUAUAAAAUAAAUACAAUUUAAUUCUUUUUUUUCAAGUCUUAUAGUUUCCAACUAACAAUUUUAUUGUAUUUCAAAUUAUCUAUUACUCUCAUCUCUUUCUCUUAGUCUAUCUAAAAAUUUUUUUUCAUCUCUCACACUCAUACUCUCAUCUCUUGGUUUCUCUAUGAUUUUUGCUCCAACUAUCGUGUUCAUCAUCUUCAGGCCUCCAAUUCUAUGUAAUUUUCAUCAACUCUAAUUUUUAUUUCAAUGUUUGUAUAUUAUUUUUCUAUUAUUUUCGCUUUGAAUUUUUUUUUUUCUAUUUUUUCUUAGAUUUUGGAAGCUUUGAGAUUAUAGCUUUGUAUUCGGCAAGAAUCCGAUAUCUCUAAAGUCUUGCUCGCCGAUCAAUUUGAAAUAAUAAUAAUAAUCAGGUUAUAUUGUUUCAAUAUACUAUUUCUAUAGAUUUAUUAAAUUUAUUUUUAUUUGUUUACAUAAUUUAUCAAUUUGUAGUUAGUGUUGAUUUUGAAAUUUAAUUAUGUCAACGAGAAAAUGUGACUCCGGAUAUGAAAAACGAAGAUAAAAAAAUAGAAAAAUUAGUGUCAUCUCAAAAGGGAGCUCUUGAUAAAUUUUUUUUUAGUUUUAAGCAAAAUAUAAAUGAGCAAGAUGAAAAUCCUCCAAAAAACGAACAAUCAAUUCCAGAGAUGGAAUUAGAAUCUAAUAUAAUAAUAAUAAUAAUAAUAGUGAUAAAGAUAACAUUGAUAUACAGGAAAUGUUCACUAAUGAUAUUUCUUUUGAAAGACAUUUUAACAAUAUAGAAGAAAAAAAAAAUAAUGAUGAUAAUAUUUAUGAUCCAAAAUAUUGGGAAAAUAUAGAUACCAAAUUACGAAAUUUACUAGUUGAAAAAGGUCAUAUUAGGGAUAAUGAUUUAAUUUUUCCAAAAAAUGAAAAUUCAAGACAUUUUUCAAGUAUAUAUUAUAUUCGAAAAUUAUCAAAUAGAGAGAAAUAAGAUAGAAAAUGACUUAUAUAUUCUAAAGAUUUAGAUAGAGUAUUUUGUUUUUAUUGUAAGUUAUUUGGCCAAAAAUUAAAUAACCAACAACUAGUUAAUACUUGAAAAUCUUGAAUACAAAACUUUAAUUAGUGAUUUUGCAUCUCAAAAAGUUAAAAAAAUUAAUUUUAAAUAAAAAUAAAAAUUAAACAAAAUAUUAAGGGUGCGAAUAAAUUAUUCACCUAGGCCAUAUCGUCAAGAGCCGACCCUGCUUAUCAGUUCAUCCAAACGCCCAUUUUCAUCAGGAGAUAAUCCACAUAUUCGAAGAUCUUGACGAGAGGGUAAUUUAUUUUCACGGUGCCAAUUCUGUUUGGUUGGACAGAAAAUAUUUGUCAACAAGCCUACGCUUCACGCAUCCUUCAAAUCAAAACUAGCCCAUCCUUACUUUAUGCUCACUGGAGAAGUGUUUAGCCGCGGCGAUUAUGGCUGCGUCCGGCCCACUUCUGGAAGACUCCAGCUCAAUACAAGCAGGAGUACGUUCAGGGGACGCAGGAAAGCAUGAUGUCAGAAACCUCAAGAACAAGGUCCACAAGCUCAGGUUCUUGUCAUGACCCAUUUUGUUCUUCCGUCCUCUGUCUCUUCUUCUAAUUUCUUUUGCAGAUUUGAAAAAGAAGGCGAGUUUUUCUGCAGGUUGCAAUAGAAAUAGAAAGAUGAGAGGGAAAUUUUCUAGCUACCCAAACAAAAAAUCCUUAGCAGUCGUGCAGAAUAGAACUCAAUUAUAAGGGGGUUUGCGAUUUAGUUGGUUCUGUAAAACCACCACCAGUUUAGCUCUUUAUAUAGCCUUCAAAGAUUUCUGGCAGUCUUGGUGAUCAAGCUUAAUGUUGGGAAUCUGAUUGCUCAAAGAGAAGGAAAAAUCAGCGCAAGUUUCUUGGAAAACUAUGGUGUAGGUGGAGCCACAUCCCACAUUGGAUUAGGUGGGAAUUUUGUUUGAAUUUAAAUCAAAGAUGUUACAUUUAUUGUUUAUUUUGUGUGACCCUGCUUAAAAGACACCAACUCUGGUAUAUAAAAUUUUUAUUUGAAUUUUUGCAGAAAA
This is a long non-coding RNA of Malania oleifera, 2353 nucleotides long. RefSeq lists it as uncharacterized. The record is from RefSeq and is a predicted model, not a curated record. The transcript is spliced from 2 exons. NCBI's taxonomy places the organism in Eukaryota, Viridiplantae, Streptophyta, Magnoliopsida, Santalales, Ximeniaceae.